GACGAACGCUGGCGGCGUGCUUAACACAUGCAAGUCGUACGGUAAGGCCCUUUCGGGGGUACACGAGUGGCGAACGGGUGAGUAACACGUGAGUAACCCGCCCACAACUUUGGGAUAACGCUAGGAAACUGGUGCUAAUACUGGAUAUGUGCUCCUGCUGCAUGGUGGGGGUUGGAAAGCUCCGGCGGUUGUGGAUGGACUCGCGGCCUAUCAGCUUGUUGGUGGGGUAGUUGCCUACCAAGGCGGCGACGGGUAGCCGGCCUGAGUGGGUGACCGGCCACAUUGGGACUGAGAGACGGCCCAGACUCCGACGGGAGGCAGCAGGGGGGAAUAUUGAACAAUGGGCGCAAGCCUGAUGCAGCAACGCCGCGUGCGGGAUGACGGCCUUCGGGUUGUAAACCGCAUUCAGCAGGGACGAAGCUUUUUGUGACGGUACCUGCAGAAGAAGCACCGGCUAACUACGUG
This 465-nucleotide ribosomal RNA is filed under the name uncultured bacterium. Its description in RNAcentral is "partial 16S ribosomal RNA". It matches the Rfam family "Bacterial small subunit ribosomal RNA", at positions 28 to 507 of the family's 1533-position model. The record is from RNAcentral.